Molecule: ribosomal RNA, 829 nt
Filed under: Flavobacterium sp. W4
Lineage: Bacteria; Pseudomonadati; Bacteroidota; Flavobacteriia; Flavobacteriales; Flavobacteriaceae
Description: bacterial SSU rRNA
Rfam family: Bacterial small subunit ribosomal RNA
Source: RNAcentral
CUCAGGAUGAACGCUAGCGGCAGGCUUAACACAUGCAAGUCGAGGGGUAUAUUUCUUCGGAGAUAGAGACCGGCGCACGGGUGCGUAACGCGUAUGCAAUCUACCUUUUACAGAGGGAUAGCCCAGAGAAAUUUGGAUUAAUACCUCAUAGCAUAGCAAUCUCGCAUGAGAUCACUAUUAAAGUCACAACGGUAAAAGAUGAGCAUGCGUCCCAUUAGCUAGUUGGUAAGGUAACGGCUUACCAAGGCUACGAUGGGUAGGGGUCCUGAGAGGGAGAUCCCCCACACUGGUACUGAGACACGGACCAGACUCCUACGGGAGGCAGCAGUGAGGAAUAUUGGACAAUGGGCGCAAGCCUGAUCCAGCCAUGCCGCGUGCAGGAUGACGGUCCUAUGGAUUGUAAACUGCUUUUGUACGAGAAGAAACACUCCUAUGUAUAGGAGCUUGACGGUAUCGUAAGAAUAAGGAUCGGCUAACUCCGUGCCAGCAGCCGCGGUAAUACGGAGGAUCCAAGCGUUAUCCGGAAUCAUUGGGUUUAAAGGGUCCGUAGGCGGUUUAGUAAGUCAGUGGUGAAAGCCCAUCGCUCAACGGUGGAACGGCCAUUGAUACUGCUGAACUUGAAUUAUUAGGAAGUAACUAGAAUAUGUAGUGUAGCGGUGAAAUGCUUAGAGAUUACAUGGAAUACCAAUUGCGAAGGCAGGUUACUACUAAUGGAUUGACGCUGAUGGACGAAAGCGUGGGUAGCGAACAGGAUUAGAUACCCUGGUAGUCCACGCCGUAAACGAUGGAUACUAGCUGUUGGGGGCAACUUCAGUGGCUAAGCGAAAGU